GUUCACGCCGUAAACGAUGAGUGCUAAGUGUUAGGGGGUUUCCGCCCCUUAGUGCUGGAGCAAACGCAUUAAGCACUCCGCCUGGGGGAGUACGGCCGCAAGGCUGAAACUCAAAGGAAUUGACGGGGACCCGCACAAGCGGUGGAGCAUGUGGUUUAAUUCGAAGCUACGCGAAGAACCUUACCAGGUCUUGACAUCCCGCUGCCCGGUCUAGAGAUAGAUCUUUCCCUUCGGGGACAGCGGUGACAGGUGGUGCAUGGUUGUCGU
Molecule: ribosomal RNA, 267 nt
Filed under: uncultured bacterium
Lineage: Bacteria
Description: partial 16S ribosomal RNA
Rfam family: Bacterial small subunit ribosomal RNA
Source: RNAcentral